ACGGGGGAGGGUCAUUGGAAAAGGGGAAAANUGGGGGGCAGAAGAGGAGAGNGAAUUCCCNCGNGNNGCGGAAAAANGNGNAGAGANGGGGAGGAACACCAGGGGNGAAGGCGUCUCUUUGGUCUGUAACUGCCGCGGAGGAGAGAAAGNGGGGGGAGNGAACAGGAUUAGACACCCUGGUAGUCCACGCCGUAAACGAUGAGUGNUAAGUGUUGGGGGGUUUCCGCCCCUUAGUGCUGCAGCUAACGCAUUAAGCACUCCGCCUGGGGAGUACGGUCGCAAGACUGAAACUCAAAGGAAUUGACGGGGGCCCGCACAAGCGGUGGAGCAUGUGGUUUAAUUNGAAGCAACGCGAAGACCCUUACCAGGUCUUGACAUCCUCUGACAACCCUAGAGAUAGGGCUUUCCCUUGGGGGACAGAGUGACAGGUGGUGCAUGGUUGUCGUCAGCUCGUGUCGUGAGAUGUUGGGUUAAGUCCCGCAACGAGCGCAACCCUUGAUCUUAGUUGCCAGCAUUCAGUUGGGCACUCUAAGGUGUUUGCCGGUGACAAACCGGAGGAAGGUGGGGAUGACGUCAAAUCAUCAUGCCCCUUAUGACCUGGGCUACACACGUGCUACAAUGGACAGAACAAAGGGCUGCA
This 640-nucleotide ribosomal RNA is filed under the name Bacillus pumilus. RNAcentral describes it as "partial 16S ribosomal RNA". It matches the Rfam family "Bacterial small subunit ribosomal RNA", at positions 612 to 1251 of the family's 1533-position model. Lineage: Bacteria; Bacillati; Bacillota; Bacilli; Caryophanales; Bacillaceae. The record is from RNAcentral.